CCUACGGGGGGCAGCAGUGGGGAAUAUUGGACAAUGGGGGCAACCCUGAUCCAGCCAUGCCGCGUGUGUGAAGAAGGCCCUCGGGUUGUAAAGCACUUUCAGUGAGGAAGAACGCCUGGUGGUUAAUACCCAUCAGGAAAGACAUCACUCACAGAAGAAGCACCGGCUAACUCCGUGCCAGCAGCCGCGGUAAUACGGAGGGUGCGAGCGUUAAUCGGAAUUACUGGGCGUAAAGCGCGCGUAGGUGGCUUGAUAAGCCGGUUGUGAAAGCCCCGGGCUCAACCUGGGAACGGCAUCCGGAACUGUCAAGCUAGAGUGCAGGAGAGGAAGGUAGAAUUCCCGGUGUAGCGGUGAAAUGCGUAGAGAUCGGGAGGAAUACCAGUGGCGAAGGCGGCCUUCUGGACUGACACUGACACUGAGGUGCGAAAGCGUGGGUAGCAAACAGGAUUAGAUACCCCGUAGUC
RNAcentral lists this ribosomal RNA (464 nucleotides) under Vreelandella stevensii. RNAcentral describes it as "partial 16S ribosomal RNA". It matches the Rfam family "Bacterial small subunit ribosomal RNA", at positions 338 to 795 of the family's 1533-position model. The record is from RNAcentral. Lineage: Bacteria; Pseudomonadati; Pseudomonadota; Gammaproteobacteria; Oceanospirillales; Halomonadaceae.